This 301-nucleotide ribosomal RNA is filed under the name uncultured bacterium. RNAcentral describes it as "partial 16S ribosomal RNA". It matches the Rfam family "Bacterial small subunit ribosomal RNA", at positions 509 to 809 of the family's 1533-position model. The record is from RNAcentral.
CAGCCGCCGCGGGAAUACCGAGGGUGCGAGCGUUAAUCGGAUUUACUGGGCGUAAAGCGUGCGUAGGCGGCUUCUUAAGUCGGAUGUGAAAUCCCUGAGCUUAACUUAGGAAUUGCAUUCGAUACUGGGAAGCUAGAGUAUGGGAGAGGAUGGUAGAAUUCCAGGUGUAGCGGUGAAAUGCGUAGAGAUCUGGAGGAAUACCGAUGGCGAAGGCAGCCAUCUGGCCUAAUACUGACGCUGAGGUACGAAAGCAUGGGGAGCAAACAGGAUUAGAUACCCCCGUAGUCCCUGUCUCUUAUAU